AGUAGAUGUUUGCACCUGUGGUGCUGGCACUUGUUUCUGUCCUUCUCAGUUGGGUUAUUAAUCUAGUAUGUAAUGUGCUCUUUAUUGUUAUAUAAUGCCAACCUAUUCUGUAGCACUUUACAGUAUUACAAAGGGGAAUAUUUCAUAAAUGAAACAAUUACAAAAUGUUACUGGAACAAUAAGUUGAUGAGGACCCUGCUCAAACGAGCUAACAAUCUAGAGGAGGUGCGUUAUAAUAGCACAAAAGGAAGGGCAGAUUGGGGGAUACCAAUAAAGUGACAGGGUGGGAAA
Molecule: non-coding RNA, 291 nt
Organism: Pelobates cultripes (western spadefoot toad)
Lineage: Eukaryota; Metazoa; Chordata; Amphibia; Anura; Pelobatidae
Source: the annotation of a GenBank genome assembly